This 474-nucleotide long non-coding RNA is filed under the name Trifolium pratense (red clover). RNAcentral's name for it is "long non-coding RNA (TPRA_LNC006982)". Lineage: Eukaryota; Viridiplantae; Streptophyta; Magnoliopsida; Fabales; Fabaceae. The record is from RNAcentral.
GGUGCAUCAAUCAGGAAGGUUGGCGUGCAUUUUCAUUCGAAAUAUUGUGAAACUGUUGGUGUAGUUUGUGAGGCGUUUCUUCACGCCAUGAUAUAAAAGGAGCAUAUUUUGAGUAGUUAGUAACUUUUAGAAAACUUAAAGGAUAAGGUUUGAGAGUUUUUUGGUGAGAUUUUAGGGUUGAGAAACACAUCCUAAAUACAUUGGAUAGCGAGAAUUUAUUUGAGGAAGAUCUGAGUUUUCUCUCUUGUUUUCUUGAGUGUUCUUCUUUGAGGUUGAGAAAAAGGGAAAUUGUAAAAAUUGGAGUUUGUUUUUUGUGAACUCUUGAAGCUAAUUUCUUGCAAUUCUUUUAUAUUUUUUUGUAAAGACUCGUUUGUGGUAAAUCAGAGAGUUGUUUUCUCUGCUUUUUUGUAUUAUUUAGAUUCAUUGUCUGGAUUUUUCCUACAUAUAUGUCUAGAUUUGUUUUAGGUUGAAUAU